GCUGAACUUAAGCAUAUCAAUAAGCGGAGGAAAAGAAACCAACAGGGAUUGCCUUAGUAACGGCGAGUGAAGCGGCAAAAGCUCAGAUUUGAAAUCUGGUGCCAUAAAGGCAUCUGAGUUGUAAUCUGUAGAGGAGUAUUCGAGUAUGGCUUUGGCUUAAGUUCCUUGGAACAGGGCGUCAAAGAGGGUGAGAACCCCGUUUGCAGCCUUUGUCUUAUGCUUAUGUGAAUCUCCUUCAACGAGUCGAGUUGUUUGGGAAUGCAGCUCUAAAUUGGUGGUAAAUUCCAUCUAAAGCUAAAUACUGGCAAGAGACCGAUAGCGCACAAGUAGAGUGAUCGAAAGAUGAAAAGAUCUCUGAACAGAGAGUUAAAUAGUACGUGAAAUUGUUGAAAGGGAAGCACUUGCUACCAGACACACUUGCAAUUAAUCAGCCUCCAUUUUUGGUGGUGCACUUGGUUGUAGGUGGGUCAGCAUCAGUUAUAGCGGUAGGAAAAAGACUGUGGGAAUGUGGCUUCUUUCGGGAAGUGUUAUAGCCCAAAGUGUAAUGCUGCCUGCUGUGACUGAGGACCGCGCUUCGGUGAGGAUGCUGGCAUAAUGGUUGUAAGUGACCCGUCUUGAAACACGGACCAAGGAGUCUAACAUCUAUGCGAGUGUUUGGGUGUAAAAACCCUUGCGCGGAAUGAAAGUAAAUGGAGGUGGGAACCGUAAGGUGCACCAUCGACCGAUCCUGAUGUUUUCGGAUGGAUUUGAGUAGGAGCAUAGCUGUUGGGACCCGAAAGAUGGUGAACUAUGCCUGAAUAGGGUGAAGCCAGAGGAAACUCUGGUGGAGGCUCGCAGCGGUUCUGACGUGCAAAUCGAUCGUCAAAUUUGGGUAUAGGGGCGAAAGACUUAAUUCGA
RNAcentral lists this ribosomal RNA (897 nucleotides) under Paragalactinia berthetiana. RNAcentral's name for it is "partial large subunit ribosomal RNA". It matches the Rfam family "Eukaryotic large subunit ribosomal RNA", at positions 27 to 938 of the family's 3401-position model. The record is from RNAcentral. Lineage: Eukaryota; Fungi; Ascomycota; Pezizomycetes; Pezizales; Pezizaceae.